RNA transcript from Papaver somniferum (opium poppy), 2474 nucleotides. RefSeq lists it as uncharacterized. Lineage: Eukaryota; Viridiplantae; Streptophyta; Magnoliopsida; Ranunculales; Papaveraceae. The transcript has 7 exons. The record is from RefSeq and is a predicted model, not a curated record.
AAUGUUGCUUCUGCAGUAACUCCUCCUUUUGUUUCUCUCACCAAAAAAAUUCUGCAAAAAUUUCAUUAAAAAUCUAACCCUAACUUGAGAUUUCAUCAAGAAUUUCGUCAUCAAAAAUCAUCGAUCACUUAUAAGUCAGUUCAUAAAAAAAGCAGUUUCGUCAAUUUUCGUCGUCAUCAAGAAAAAUGCGGAGAAAGAAGAAAGAGAAAAUUGUAGAACAAGUUGAAAUUGAAGCGGAUUCAGAAAAAACUGAAUCAGAUGAAGAGACAAUGAUUCCAGUUAAAAAAGCAAACAAAGGAGCAUCGAAGAAGAACAUCAAAUGUAAAUCUAAGAAAAGUAGUACUUCAGAAAUAGAUCUUGAUGAAAAAGAAGGAGGAUCAAACCAUAAUAAUAGCGAUGAAGAAGAAGUUUAUUCUGGGGAUAGGCCAUACAAAGCUGGUUUGUCUGCUUUGACUGCUUUUGUGAUUGAUAUGAGAAAGGAAAAUCUGAAUUUGAAUGCUCAACAAAUAGAGGUACUUAAAGAGUCUCCCUUUGCUGAUUUGUUUAUGAUGAUAAUGGAGAAUGAGUACACUACAGCACUUUGGAACAAAAUUGAUGAAGCUUUCACAAAGUUAUUGACGUGCUUGAAAGAAGCAACAAGAAAAGAGAUUAUGUUUGAAUUUGUUCGUGGAGGUGAGAAAUAUACAAUGACAUCCACCCCGGAAAAAUUAGUUGUCAUUCUUGGGGUGCCAUGCAUUAAAGGCAGAUGGAAAGAAACCAAAAAGGCAAUGUAUGGUGAUUCUUUUAGAGAAUCUGAGUUUUACCUUAGGUAUUUUGGUGAUGAAAAAUCUGCUUCAAAGACAUUAAUAUGAGAUGCAAUCUUUAAACUGUUAAAGCAAACAGAACCACCUCUUACAAGAAGGGACAAUGAAGACUUGGUGAUACCGAUUGGUCUUUUCAUGUGCAAUACUAUUUUCUUUACCACUAAAGAUGCUGGCAAAAUAAAGGAGAAGUAUUUGGGUUUGCUCCAAGAUUUUCAACAAAUGUAAAACUUUAUCAUGGGCCCACUUGAUUCAUUCUGAAUUAGCCAAAGGCUUAAACAAAAGUUUCAACAACCCAAAAAAAAACUAGUGGAUGUGUUUUCUAUCUACCGACUAAGAUAGUGGAACCGAUUGAGUUGAGGAAAGAAAAAUUUGUACCAAGAGCAAGCAGGUGGAACCUGAAGUAGAUUGGCAAAGAGUUCCUCAAAGAUAUGGAUACAUCAAACUAUUUGUUUAGGAAAAACUUCGUUGAUGAAAUAACUUAAUAUGAAAGAGUGGCACUUGGUAUGAGUGAAGAAGGUGGAAGUAUAUCUUUGGUAGAAGACAGAGAAGAAAAAAAUCAUAACUUGAGCAUGGAAAUCAAAACAGGUUGGCAGGUAAUGCAGAAUUUGAUUGCUAAUAAUGAAAAAGUACACCCUAAAAUGCAAGAAAUGUUGAAUAAAUUGUACUUCCAAGCAUGUCCAGAAGAAUUAGAGAGUCUACCCAAUUCCUUUGAAUUGAAGAAUGAUAUAACAGUUGAUUCUGAUUCUGCAAAAGAAAGACAAGUCACAGCAGAUGUUUCUUCUUCCGUGCAGUCGAAGAAUGAUACAACACCAGCAACAAUGAUGUGUACUACAUCUAAUGAUGCAUGUGUGACACCAGCAGAAGACUUGCGAGAUGAUUCAGUUAACGUUCAGUCGAAUAAAGCUACAACAGAUAAUUCCUUUGAACGAGAUCCAAUCAUUGAUUUCAUUACAUGUUCAAUGAGUGAUUUAAGUCCUUUACCAUCUCAAGAAAAAAAGGUUGAACUAGUUUUUGAUGAAGGUGUAUUGAAGGAUAAUAUUGAACAUGAAAAACUACAUAACUUUACACAGUUGGAUGAUACUGAUGAGGUUGUUGAAAACAUGACAUUAGCCAACAUUUUAAUGACGAUGAAGGAUAACCCAGAGAUAGCUAAUUCACCAUCUUCUGCUCCAGAACAAAAGAUUGCUGAUGCAAAACUUACAUUUCCAGAACCAAAAAAUGUAGAUGCAGGAGCUAUUAAUCCAGAAAAAAGCAAUGCUGAUGCAAAUCUUACAGUUCCAUAACCAAAGAAUGCUGAUGCAGGAGCUAUUGAUCCAGAACAAAGCAGUGCUGACACAAAUUUUAUUGUUCCACAACCAAAGCAUGCUGCUGAUGCAGAACCAAAAGAUGGAGAAAGUAAAAGGAAGAGGAAAAAAAUAGAGAGUACAAAAGGACAGGAUGCUGUUGUGAAAAAGAAUUCACAAAAAGUUACCAAAAGGACAGGAUGCUGUUGUGAACAAAUCUUAUUCUUCAAAAGCUUGAAUGUGUGACUAGUUUAUCCACUGAAUUAUGUGUGAAUACUCUCUACACUGAACUAUAUGUGUAUAUUUUCUGUACUUGACUAUUUUCCACACAGAACUAUGUUUGUAUAUCAUUGGUGUUUCUUAAUGUGUAAAUACUCUCUACACUGAA